Molecule: ribosomal RNA, 497 nt
Filed under: uncultured bacterium
Lineage: Bacteria
Description: partial 16S ribosomal RNA
Rfam family: Bacterial small subunit ribosomal RNA
Source: RNAcentral
GAUGAACGCUGGCGGCGCGCCUAAUACAUGCAAGUCGAGCGAACGGACGAGAAGCUUGCUUCUCUGAUGUUAGCGGCGGACGGGUGAGUAACACGUGGAUAACCUACCUAUAAGACUGGGAUAACUUCGGGAAACCGGAGCUAAUACCGGAUAAUAUUUUGAACCGCAUGGUUCAAAAGUGAAAGACGGUCUUGCUGUCACUUAUAGAUGGAUCCGCGCUGCAUUAGCUAGUUGGUAAGGUAACGGCUUACCAAGGCAACGAUGCAUAGCCGACCUGAGAGGGUUAUCGGCCACACUGGAACUGAGACACGGUCCAGACUCCUACGGGAGGCAGCAGUAGGGAAUCUUCCGCAAUGGGCGAAAGCCUGACGGAGCAACGCCGCGUGAGUGAUGAAGGUCUUCGGAUCGUAAAACUCUGUUAUUAGGGAAGAACAUAUGUGUAAGUAACUGUGCACAUCUUGACGGUACCUAAUCAGAAAGCCACGGCUAACUACGUG